Molecule: ribosomal RNA, 230 nt
Filed under: uncultured bacterium
Lineage: Bacteria
Description: partial 16S ribosomal RNA
Rfam family: Bacterial small subunit ribosomal RNA
Source: RNAcentral
UGGGCAACCUGCCUCUAGCUCUGGGAUAACUCCGGGAAACCGGGGCUAAUACCGGAUAUGACCUCGAGCGGCAUCUAUCGAGGUGGAAAGUUUUUCGGCUAGAGAUGGGCCCGCGGCCUAUCAGCUUGUUGGUGAGGUAACGGCCCACCAAGGCGACGACGGGUAGCCGGCCUGAGAGGGCGACCGGCCACACUGGGACUGCGACACGGCCCAGACUCCUACGGGAGGCA